CCUACGGGAGUCAGCAGUGAGGAAUAUUGGUCAAUGGACGAGAGUCUGAACCAGCCAAGUAGCGUGAAGGAUGACUGCCCUAUGGGUUGUAAACUUCUUUUAUAUGGGAAUAAAACGUUCCACGUGUGGGAUUUUGUAUGUACCAUAUGAAUAAGGAUCGGCUAACUCCGUGCCAGCAGCCGCGGUAAUACGGAGAAUCCGAGCGUUAUCCGGAUUUAUUGGGUUUAAAGGGAGCGUAGGUGGAUUGUUAAGUCAGUUGUGAAAGUUUGCGGCUCAACCGUAAAAUUGCAGUUGAAACUGGCAGUCUUGAGUACAGUAGAGGUGGGCGGAAUUCGUGGUGUAGCGGUGAAAUGCUUAGAUAUCACGAAGAACUCCGAUUGCGAAGGCAGUUCACUGGACUGCAACUGACACUGAGGCUCGAAAGUGUGGGUAUCAAACAGGAUUAGAUACCCCGGUAGUC
RNAcentral lists this ribosomal RNA (460 nucleotides) under uncultured bacterium. RNAcentral describes it as "partial 16S ribosomal RNA". It matches the Rfam family "Bacterial small subunit ribosomal RNA", at positions 338 to 795 of the family's 1533-position model. The record is from RNAcentral.